Non-coding RNA from Maylandia zebra (zebra mbuna), 896 nucleotides. Lineage: Eukaryota; Metazoa; Chordata; Actinopteri; Cichliformes; Cichlidae. The record is from RefSeq and is a predicted model, not a curated record.
CAAGCUCUUACGCUGUCAUGUCAGUAACAGUGUAUGAAAAUGUUCAGGUAACUCAUCUACAAAUGGAUACCUACAACAAUGAGACAAAACAGAAAAAGAAAUGAGGAUUGUGUGUCCAGAGUCAAGAGAGACUGAGAAAUCCAUCAAGGCGAGAGGUGCCCAGACACAAGGUUUUUCUACUCUUGAUGAUACACCAGGACAAAUUCAACAGUGUGAGGAAGAGGAGGAGGAAGAAGUGCCAGCUCAGAGAUAGAAGAGCGGAGGUGAAGACACAGACUGCUCUUUCUUGAUGAAGGCUGUUAGAAAAGUUUAAAAUAAUUAGCAAUGGUUAAAUAAAUAAAGUAGCACUGGGCAGUGAAAAGGUAUACAUUCAAAAAGUUAAAGUGUGUAAGCACUCGCACCAAAAUAUCCCUGAAAAUAAACGUCAAGCAUAUUAACUUCAGUUUUAUGUUUCUUCAGUUAAACAUGAAAUAUUUUUGCUUUAUCUAUGUGUUUGUUUCAUAUUGCUGUUUAUACGCUUUAUAUAUUUUGUGAUAAGUUCAUCUGCUGCAUUACAUCGUAUUUUCUAAGCAUGUUAUACAUCUGUAUCAUGCUCUGUUAGGCCCAUUCAGCCAUUUAAGGAUCAGAUAUCUUUUCCAUCUGACCUAAGAAAAUUAUAUGUCAUGAUUUUCUCACCCAAUAAAGGGAUACAGGCUAUUCUUCAUUUUAUCAGCAGCUUACUCGUUUAUAAACAAGAAGGCCCAGAGGUAGCACUGACGGUUGCCAGAAUACUUUAUAGUAUGUAACUUUAUUUGUUGUGUUUAUGAAAUGUAUAGUUUUAUUUUUUGAAGAACCUUUUGAUGUAAUGUGAUGUGCAUUAUGUGUCGAGUCAUGACUGAAUGGCUGAACUGCAGCAC